This 69-nucleotide transfer RNA is filed under the name Lariscus insignis (three-striped ground squirrel). RNAcentral's name for it is "tRNA-Trp". The record is from RNAcentral. Lineage: Eukaryota; Metazoa; Chordata; Mammalia; Rodentia; Sciuridae.
AGGAAUUUAGGUUAANUUCAGACCAAGAGCCUUCAAAGCCCUAAGUAAGCAUCCUACGCUUAAUUCCUG